This 705-nucleotide long non-coding RNA is filed under the name Zonotrichia albicollis (white-throated sparrow). RNAcentral's name for it is "lncRNA (ENSZALG00000001068.1)". Lineage: Eukaryota; Metazoa; Chordata; Aves; Passeriformes; Passerellidae. The record is from RNAcentral.
UCUCCAUGGAGGACCAAGGAUCCAUUUUGGGAUUUUUUUGACCCAAAAUUCUUCCUCAUUUUCAUCAUCAUCAUCAUUUUCAUCUUCAUCAUCUUCAUAAUCUUCAUCAUCUUCAUCUCCUCCAUCAUCUUCCUCUUCCUCCUCCUCCUCCUCAGCCCCUCCCUUUAAUCUUCAUCCCCUCCUCCUCCUCCAUCAUCAUCAUCAUCAGCGGGGCCUUCAUCGCCUCCACCACCACCAUCAUCAUCAUCAUCAUUGCCUCCAUCUUCAGCAUCGGGGCCUUCAUCAUCUCCACCAUCAUCAUCUUCAUCAUCAUCACCAUUGGGGCCUUCAUCACCUCCACUGCCACCAUCAUCAUCAUCACCUCCAUCUUCAUCACCUCCACCACCAUCAUCAUCCUCGGGGCCUUCAUCACCUCCACCAUCAUCAUCAUCAUCAUCGGAGCCUUCAUCACCUCCACCAUCUUCAUCAUCAUCACCACCUCCAUCUUCACCAUUGGGGGCCUUCAUCGCCUCCACCACCACCAUCAUCAUCUUCACCUCCAUCUUCAUCACCUCCACCAUCAUCAUCCUCGGGGCCUUCAUCACCAUUUCCGGCCUCUCCCUCCUCCUCCUCCUCCUCAGCCCCUCCCUUCAAUCUUCAUCCCCUCCUCCUCCUCCAUCAUCAUCAUCAGCGGGGCCUUCAUCGCCUCCGCCACCACCACCAUCA